This is a long non-coding RNA of Centruroides sculpturatus (bark scorpion), 426 nucleotides long. RefSeq lists it as uncharacterized. The transcript is spliced from 3 exons. Lineage: Eukaryota; Metazoa; Arthropoda; Arachnida; Scorpiones; Buthidae. The record is from RefSeq and is a predicted model, not a curated record.
GAUAUAAGCUCAAACAACAUCUUAAUAGAUAAAAAAAAUGGAGCAUAUUUGAUUGACUUUGGUCUGUGCACAUCCGAACGCAGUCCAACAGACUUCUGCGGCACUCUGUUCUAUUUAUGCCCAGAAAUUCUUCAACAGACAGAAUACGGUAAGAAAUGUUACUUACAUUCAAUGAAUUUUUUAUUUCUUUUUUUUAUUGGUGAAAUCAAUGUAUGGCUUACAGACGCUUACUGCGAUUGGUGGGCGUUUGGAGUUGUAUUAUACCAGAUUUUGGUUGGCAAAACUCCAAUGGACGUUUAUCUGGAAACACUUAUGUCCUUGGAAGAUUUCCAGACAUUGCCGAUAACGGAACAAAUCAAAAUUGCUGAAGAAGUGGAGUUGACGUAUUCUUUUGAACUACCGCAGGAUGCCAAAGAAAUAAUCCAG